RNAcentral lists this ribosomal RNA (446 nucleotides) under uncultured bacterium. RNAcentral describes it as "partial 16S ribosomal RNA". It matches the Rfam family "Bacterial small subunit ribosomal RNA", at positions 338 to 795 of the family's 1533-position model. The record is from RNAcentral.
CCUACGGGAGGCAGCAGUCGAGAAUUAUUCACAAUGGGGGAAACCCUGAUGGUGCGACGCCGCGUGGGGGAAUGAAGGUCUUCGGAUUGUAAACCCCUGUCAUGUGGGAGCAAAUUAAAAAGAUAGUACCACAAGAGGAAGAGACGGCUAACUCUGUGCCAGCAGCCGCGGUAAUACAGAGGUCUCAAGCGUUGUUCGGAAUCACUGGGCGUAAGGCGUGCGGAGGCUGUUUCGUAAGUCGUGUGUGAAAGGCGCGGGCUCAACCCGCGGACGGCACAUGAUACUGCGAGACUAGAGUAAUGGAGGGGGAACCGGAAUUCUCGGUGUAGCAGUGAAAUGCGUAGAUAUCGAGAGGAACACUCGUGGCGAAGGCGGGUUCCUGGACAUUAACUGACGCUGAGGCACGAAGGCCAGGGGAGCGAAAGGGAUUAGAUACCCUGGUAGUC